CAAAUGGUCCUUUUAAGGACCCCAAUUCCAAAUGGAAAAGAGUUU
Aedes albopictus (Asian tiger mosquito) is the source of this 45-nucleotide non-coding RNA. NCBI's taxonomy places the organism in Eukaryota, Metazoa, Arthropoda, Insecta, Diptera, Culicidae. The record is from Rfam.